RNAcentral lists this ribosomal RNA (253 nucleotides) under uncultured bacterium. RNAcentral's name for it is "partial 16S ribosomal RNA". It matches the Rfam family "Bacterial small subunit ribosomal RNA", at positions 524 to 776 of the family's 1533-position model. The record is from RNAcentral.
GACAGAGGUGCCAAGCGUUAGGCGGAAUCACUGGGCUUAAAGCGUGUGUAGGCGGCAUUGUAAGUACCUUGUGAAAUCCCACGGCUCAACCGUGGAACUGCUUGGUAUACUGCUUUUCUUGAGCCACUUAGGGGCUACCGGAACAAAUGGUGGAGCGGUGAAAUGCGUAGAUAUCAUUUGGAACGCCAAUGGUGAAAACAGGUAGCUGGGAGUGUGCUGACGCUGAGACACGAAAGCCAGGGGAGCGAACGGG